GACGAACGCUGGCGGUGUGCUUAACACAUGCAAGAGGAGCGACGAACCAGAGCUUGCUCUGGGGCAGAGCCGCGAACGGGUGAGUAACACGUGGGUAACCUACCCUGAUGACUGGGACAACCCGAGGAAACUCGGGCUAAUACCGGAUGUGCUCUCCUCUCACGAGAGAGGCGAGUAAAGGAAGCUUCGGCCUCCGCAUCAGGAGGGGCCCGCGGCCCAUUAGUUUGUUGGUGGGGUAACGGCCUACCAAGACUGCGAUGGGUAGCUGGUCUGAGCGGACGAUCAGCCACACUGGGACUGGGACACGGCCCAGACUCCUACGGGAGGCAGCAGUGGGGAAUCUUGCGCAAUGCGCGACAGCGUGACGCAGCAACACCGCGUGGGGGAAGAAGGCCUUCGGGUUGUAAACCCCUUUCAGGAGGGACGAAGGCCGGCCGGUGAAUAGCCGUGCCGGUUGACGGUACCUCCACAAGAAGCCCCGGCUAACUACGUGCCAGCCGCCGCCGUAA
This 509-nucleotide ribosomal RNA is filed under the name uncultured bacterium. RNAcentral's name for it is "partial 16S ribosomal RNA". It matches the Rfam family "Bacterial small subunit ribosomal RNA", at positions 28 to 523 of the family's 1533-position model. The record is from RNAcentral.